GUGAUACAAUCUAUGCCAAACAACACAAGGAACACAACAGAAUAAUCGAAGUCAGCAAAUCGGUCAUGGGAAGUUUAUCCAGGUGAAUCGAAGAGAGUAAAUAGUCUCCACAGAAUUGUAUUCGGUUGAAAGGAACUAGCCAAAAGGUAUAAUUGUGCUCAUCGCAACAAAUACUUUCUACGGAAAUGUGGGUAUGUGUGUUCAUGUGUUACAGGUCCUUGUCAAAGUGCACAUGAGGACUGUUCAACCUGAUGAUCCAAUUAGAUGCAGGGAAGCACUAGAGUUUUUUUCUUCUGAUUAGCAAAGUGUGAAUCAAACUAUUUCGCCAGGCUUGAGGAGCAGCCUUUCUAAUCAACCCAUGUGGCUUUUAUCUUAAAUGUCGUGUGCGGUAUGGAAAGCCAAGUUCAGUGUGCCUGCACAAAACAUAGCUUCUAAACAAAAAAAAACCGCACCGGGUGCUCUGUUUGAACAGUGAAAAUAGACAGGAUGAUCACUGCUUGUGAACGCAAGUUUUCAAAUCGGGCCAUUGGAUCAGCUUCAUUCCAGACUUUGCCAGAUGCACAUCACCAAAGGAUAAUUAAGAAAUUUACAAGAGAAAAAACUUGCACAGAAUCGAGAGAAGCGUUGUCUCUCAACAAGAAUAAGAAUUCUCAGGUAUGUGCUUUUGAUGUCAUUAAUGUUAAUAUAUGACAAUGAUAUUAAGACAAUUUAGACACACAUCAAACAACGAGAAAUACAAUGAGGUUGACGGAGACGGGUCCAAUCUUCACCUCGUAAUGGUGUUAUUAGCACUAUCAUAUCACCAGAUAUUUCAACUAUGAGUAUUGUAGGUCAGCGACGAAGAAUUUUAAAAAACCAAAAAUAAAAUAGAUGUGUUAUUUUGGAAAUGAGAGUUGAUGGCGGUGGUAGGGUGAAGACUGCUGUGACAACUCUUCAGUCAAACUGUUCUUUGAAUGUAAGCAUAAGACAUUUCUUGUCUUGUUCUUAUCGUCUUGCCGGGUCAUAGAACAAUAAUUCACGGUUCAAAAUAAUUCACGGUUCAAAAGGAGCACAAUGUUACUAGAGUCUUUGAGUGUCCUAGCAUUAUCAAUCUUUGAUUUUGAACCAACAAAAAUGACCUAUAAUUAAGGGUAUUGAUGGCAUUACCUGCUAAGAAUCCAGGUGAAGCUGACAAUGACCUGUCUUUAGAAGGUUCUCUCGAAGAAGAGCAAGGUUCAGGAAACCUAACUCAAGGGGCGAGUAGAAACUCUAGGUAUUUUAGGGCAUCUAAAAUUCGGAGUAAAGAAGUUGUAUGAUAUCAACAAACAAACAAACUCCUGUAAAUAAACAAUGCUAGC
Molecule: long non-coding RNA, 1337 nt
Filed under: Physcomitrium patens
Lineage: Eukaryota; Viridiplantae; Streptophyta; Bryopsida; Funariales; Funariaceae
Description: long non-coding RNA (PPAT_LNC012239)
Source: RNAcentral